GCCCUAUAUAAAAUAUGAGGUGAAACCUGCCCAAUGGUUUCAAAUUAAAAAUAAAUAAAAUUUAUUUAAUGAAAUUAAAAGGACGCGGUAACCUUGACCGUAAUAAUGUAGCAUAAUCAUUCGCCAUUUAAUUGAUGGAUAGUAUGAAUGGUUUAACGAAUAUUCCACUGUCUUAAAAAGAAAUAAACAAAAAAUUGAAACAAUAGUUAAGAUGCUAUUUAAAAUUAUAAGACGAAAAGACCCUGUAGAGCUUAACUAUAGUCUUUCUUAAUUUUAAAAUUCUUAUAGAAAGAUUGGUAGUUUAGUUGGGGCGACUAUCUUCUAAAAAAAACGAAGAUAAACAAAGUUAAUUAUAUAACUUAUUGUAUAAUGAAUUUAUUUAACAAUUACUAAAGUAGGUAAUAAUGACCCGUUAAACUCUUAUAAAAGAGAUAACGAUCAAUAAAUAAAAGCUACCUCAGGGAUAACAGGAUAAUUUCAUCUUAGAGACCUAAUCAAAGAUGAAGUUUGUCACCUCUAUGUUGAAUUAAGAUAUCCUGAUAAUGCAGAAGUUAUCAAAGGUAGGUCUGUUCGACCUUUAAAAUCUU
Molecule: ribosomal RNA, 587 nt
Filed under: Hincksella sibogae
Lineage: Eukaryota; Metazoa; Cnidaria; Hydrozoa; Leptothecata; Syntheciidae
Description: partial large subunit ribosomal RNA
Rfam family: Bacterial large subunit ribosomal RNA
Source: RNAcentral